CAGCCGUAAACUAUGCUCGCUAGGUGUCAGGCAUGGCGCGACCGUGUCUGGUGCCGCAGGGAAGCCGUGAAGCGAGCCACCUGGGAAGUACGGCCGCAAGGCUGAAACUUAAAGGAAUUGGCGGGGGGGCACCACAACGGGUGGAGCCUGCGGUUUAAUUGGACUCAACGCCGGACAACUCACCGGGGACGACAGCAAUAUGUAGGCCAGGCUGAAGACCUUGCCUGAAUCGCUGAGAGGUGGUGCAUGGCGUAGACGUCU
Molecule: ribosomal RNA, 261 nt
Filed under: uncultured archaeon
Lineage: Archaea
Description: partial 16S ribosomal RNA
Rfam family: Archaeal small subunit ribosomal RNA
Source: RNAcentral